AUGGAGGAACGGAGCAGCCCGACUGAAGGUGUUUCUCCUGUGAAACCAGCUCAGGAAAUCCUCUCUGCACGUGACCCUGCUAGCGAAGGAAAUGCCGCUCCCACUGAGCUCAUCAGCACCCAGCCCUCAUCUGCUGCAGCUCCUCCAUCAGGGGCCUCGCGGGCGCCACCCGGACACCGGCGGGCCCAGAGCGGCCCCGACGAGCCCACCUGUCCAGGCCGCGGCCUCCGCCCAGGCCGGGGCUCCGUGCUGCCGGUGCACAGCGGCAGAACCAGCACCAGGAGCAGCCGGGAGGCGCCCCAUCAACCUGCCACGACCCAGAGCGGUGAGCGAAGCAAACACAAACGAGCCCGAAGUAGCUUCAGUGAUGUUGUGAAGCUGAACAUUCACUCUAGUACACGUUACCAGAUGUGA
RNAcentral lists this long non-coding RNA (414 nucleotides) under Betta splendens (Siamese fighting fish). Its description in RNAcentral is "lncRNA (ENSBSLG00000012281.1)". Lineage: Eukaryota; Metazoa; Chordata; Actinopteri; Anabantiformes; Osphronemidae. The record is from RNAcentral.